UAAGUAGAAGUUAGGUUGCCAAGUCGAAGCGAAGAAGACAAAGACGCAGGAGUUAGGUUAGGUCAUCGGUGGCCGGCCGGCUACCGCCGCUGCCGACGCCGCAUGUCGACGAGCCGCCGCCGCCGCCGCGACGGCAAGGGCCCCUCGGGGAAGCGGGCAGCGAGCGGGGGCAGGGCGCAAGUGGAGCGGAGGAGGUUAGGGUUCGAGCCCUUCGGGCAAGGGUCGGACUCUCGAAGUAUAGCAGCUUCCGCUGGCGUACAGGCGCGCACGAGGUCGCUCCAACUAGGCCUGCGGAGCCGUCGCAGUGGCCGUCUUCGAUCAAAACUAUAUUUCGAAGGAUCUUCUUCGAACGAACAAGUCAAAUGUACAUGAUUUACACUACGUUCCUGUCUCGCAAACUAUUUGUCCCACCGGAUACUUUCUCCUUGGCACAAAGAAGUCACGCGACCCACGGUCCACAUAGUGUUCAAACAACUGUUAGAACCGGAUUAACAGCUCAUACUGGAUGCUCUUCUUUUACCCCACUUGUGAACACGACUUCUGACUAAACCUUACACAGUAUCUUCGGUCCGUACGAUUCAAAGGAGAUUUAUAUGAUCCAAACUCAGAACUGUUGUAACUGAUAAACUUGGAACAUCUGACGAAUAUAACUUGUCAUAAACACGUAACUUUAUCGUCGAAUGAGUCAAGUAUUGACCCAAAUAUACCUGAGUUUAUCAUAGUGUUAAGUGUUAUGGUCUAAUGGAAUAACAAUGGUUUUUAACGAGAGUAAUAUCUUUUUGCUAUGUAACAACGACCUUCAACGACCGUGAUUAACAUACUAUAAGCGUGACAUACGUGUAGUAGUAAGAAACGAGGGUAGAACAACUAGAACUAACAGACCUUGUAGUGAAAAAAGAGAAAAAGAAGGAGAAACCGGUGGACGAGGUGUAAAAGACAAAACGGUCGCGGUAGAAAGAAAGGGACCUCCUUGACCUAUUCAUUCUAGAAGCUCACACUACAGAGUACUCGUGGAGACGAUGGAGACGACCGCUGGAGGAACUAGUAACUACAAAGGUUUUCGAGAACCGAUGGUCUUAUACGAUGAGGGCAACUUUACGUCUACCUUAAUGUAUUAGAGUACCUAAUUAUACGUUCCCGUUCCCCUUUUACUUACGUGUUCAUCUGAUGUAUGUAUGGAUUCCGUCCAGAUAUGAACAAUUUCAAAGAACCAGUCACAUCCGCCGCGUGUGAGACCGCCACAACGGUACCUGGAUAUUAAAGGUCAACUACUCUUCCUUGGCUUAGUAAAUGGUUAAAGGUACCCGACUUGUUUCUAUCAUUUUGUCCCCCGGAGAAAGGUCGCUUCGUUCACACGUGGUCAGGAAAAAUCAUGUCUUUUAGUACCAUUUUGAGAAACGUCAAGUACACAUUUGGGUUUUGUUACAUUACUAUGUAAGUAUUUUGAGAAACGUCAAGUACAUAUUUAGAUUGAACUUCCUCAUAACAUCGAAAAAAACAUUUAUGAAUAGAUAUCAUCGG
RNAcentral lists this ribosomal RNA (1521 nucleotides) under Triticum aestivum (bread wheat). RNAcentral describes it as "partial small subunit ribosomal RNA". Lineage: Eukaryota; Viridiplantae; Streptophyta; Magnoliopsida; Poales; Poaceae. The record is from RNAcentral.